UCGAACGCUGGCGGCAUGCCUUACACAUGCAAGUCGAACGGUAGAGGGGCAACCCUUGAGAGUGGCGAACGGGUGAGUAAUAUAUCGGAACGUGCCCAGUCGUGGGGGAUAACGCAGCGAAAGCUGCGCUAAUACCGCAUACGAUCUAUGGAUGAAAGCGGGGGAUCGCAAAGACCUCGCGCGAUUGGAGCGGCCGAUAUCAGAUUAGGUAGUUGGUGGGGUAAA
Molecule: ribosomal RNA, 225 nt
Filed under: uncultured bacterium
Lineage: Bacteria
Description: partial 16S ribosomal RNA
Rfam family: Bacterial small subunit ribosomal RNA
Source: RNAcentral